AAGUCGUAACAAGGUUUCCGUAGGUGAACCUGCGGAAGGAUCAUUAACACGUAUCCAACGUAAAAAACCCCCCUGUGAACAUUCAAACCUGCUCUCGUAGCCCAAUCAUUGUCGAACAGCUUUUGAUUCGGGACUUCUGACAAAUGAGAAGUUACAGUUACGAUUGAGCGGAGAUAGCUGCAUGGCAUCCCGAAGCAGUCAGUGUCUGAAAGUGUCAUUGAUUGUCUAAGGAUCUCGCCUCAACGAUUGCUAGAGGUCGCUCACCGACCGGCAGACAUGCAACCGGGUCCCCACGCCCCUUUACAACCCGAUUACCUCUGUGAGUCUAGGCGGACGCACUAGGCUAAAAAACCUCGAACAACUGUUAACAAUGGAUAUCUUGGUUCUC
Molecule: unclassified non-coding RNA, 388 nt
Filed under: fungal sp.
Lineage: Eukaryota; Fungi
Description: partial internal transcribed spacer region
Rfam family: Eukaryotic small subunit ribosomal RNA (bases 1-46)
Source: RNAcentral